AGACCCGAAACCCGGUGAUCUAGCCAUGGGCAGGUUGAAGGUUGGGUAACACUAACUGGAGGACCGAACCGACUAAUGUUGAAAAAUUAGCGGAUGACCUGUGGCUGGGGGUGAAAGGCCAAUCAAACCGGGAGAUAGCUGGUUCUCCCCGAAAGCUAUUUAGGUAGCGCCUCGUGAAUUCAUCUCCGGGGGUAGAGCACUGUUUCGGCUAGGGGGCCAUCCCGGCUUACCAACCCGAUGCAAACUGCGAAUACCGGAGAAUGUUAUCACGGGAGACACACGGCGGGUGCUAACGUCCGUCGUGAAGAGGGAAACAACCCAGACCGCCAGCUAAGGUCCCAAAGUCAUGGUUAAGUGGGAAACGAUGUGGGAAGGCCCAGACAGCCAGGAUGUUGGCUUAGAAGCAGCCAUCAUUUAAAGAAAGCGUAAUAGCUCACUGGUCGAGUCGGCCUGCGCGGAAGAUGUAACGGGGCUAAACCAUGCACCGAAGCUGCGGCAGCGAACGUAUCACUUAAAGCGAUUCAGCGGGUUACGAUUGACGGAGCGAAGCGACGUCAAAGCGUAUACAAAGUCGAGUCGGUUUAAGGAUACGUUCGUUGGGUAGGGGAGCGUUCUGUAAGCCUGUGAAGGUGGCCUGUGAGGGUUGCUGGAGGUAUCAGAAGUGCGAAUGCUGACAUAAGUAACGAUAAAGCGGGUGAAAAGCCCGCUCGCCGGAAGACCAAGGGUUCCUGUCCAACGUUAAUCGGGGCAGGGUGAGUCGACCCCUAAGGCGAGGCCGAAAGGCGUAGUCGAUGGGAAACGGGUUAAUAUUCCCGUACUUGGUGUUACUGCGAAGGGGGGACGGAGAAGGCUAUGUUGGCCGGGCGACGGUUGUCCCGGUUUAAGCGUGUAGGUGUGUGUUCCAGGUAAAUCCGGUUCACUUUAACACUGAGGCGUGAUGACGAGGCACUACGGUGCUGAAGCAACAAAUGCCCUGCUUCCAGGAAAAGCCUCUAAGCAUCAGGUAACAUCAAAUCGUACCCCAAACCGACACAGGUGGUCAGGUAGAGAAUACCAAGGCGCUUGAGAGAACUCGGGUGAAGGAACUAGGCAAAAUGGUGCCGUAACUUCGGGAGAAGGCACGCUGACAC
RNAcentral lists this ribosomal RNA (1130 nucleotides) under Salmonella enterica subsp. enterica serovar Newport. RNAcentral's name for it is "partial 23S ribosomal RNA". It matches the Rfam family "Bacterial large subunit ribosomal RNA", at positions 711 to 1757 of the family's 2925-position model. The record is from RNAcentral. Lineage: Bacteria; Pseudomonadati; Pseudomonadota; Gammaproteobacteria; Enterobacterales; Enterobacteriaceae. RNAcentral also lists the same sequence under 3 other names.